This 912-nucleotide ribosomal RNA is filed under the name Simplicillium lanosoniveum. RNAcentral's name for it is "partial large subunit ribosomal RNA". It matches the Rfam family "Eukaryotic large subunit ribosomal RNA", at positions 24 to 965 of the family's 3401-position model. Lineage: Eukaryota; Fungi; Ascomycota; Sordariomycetes; Hypocreales; Cordycipitaceae. The record is from RNAcentral.
UCCCCCCGGGAGAUUAGCAUUCCAUUAGCGGAGGAAAAGAAACCAACAGGGAUUGCCCCAGUAACGGCGAGUGAAGCGGCAACAGCUCAAAUUUGAAAUCUGGCUCCUAGAGUCCGAGUUGUAAUUUGUAGAGGAUGCUUUUGAUGCGGUGCCUUCCGAGUUCCCUGGAACGGGACGCCAUAGAGGGUGAGAGCCCCGUCUGGUCGGAUGCCAAAUCUCUGUAAAGCUCCUUCGACGAGUCGAGUAGUUUGGGAAUGCUGCUCUAAAUGGGAGGUAUAUGUCUUCUAAAGCUAAAUAUUGGCCAGAGACCGAUAGCGCACAAGUAGAGUGAUCGAAAGAUGAAAAGCACUUUGAAAAGAGGGUUAAAUAGUACGUGAAAUUGUUGAAAGGGAAGCGCCUAUGACCAGACUUGGGCCCGGUGAAUCAUCCAGCGUUCUCGCUGGUGCACUUUGCCGGGCACAGGCCAGCAUCAGUUUGUCUUGGGGGAAAAAGGCUUUGGGAACGUGGCUCCCUCGGGAGUGUUAUAGACCAUUGCAUAAUACCCUGGGACGGACUGAGGUUCGCGCAUCUGCAAGGAUGCUGGCGUAAUGGUCAUCAGCGACCCGUCUUGAAACACGGACCAAGGAGUCGUCUUCGUAUGCGAGUGUUCGGGUGUAAAACCCCUACGCGUAAUGAAAGUGAACGCAGGUGAGAGCUUCGGCGCAUCAUCGACCGAUCCUGAUGUUCUCGGAUGGAUUUGAGUAAGAGCAUACGGGGCCGGACCCGAAAGAAGGUGAACUAUUCCUGUAUAGGGUGAAGCCAGAGGAAACUCUGGUGGAGGCUCGCAGCGGUUCUGACGUGCGAAUCGAUCGUCAAAUAUGGGAAUGGGGGCGAAAGACUAAUCGAACCUUCUAGUAACUGGUUUCCGCCAAU